Molecule: ribosomal RNA, 497 nt
Filed under: uncultured bacterium
Lineage: Bacteria
Description: partial 16S ribosomal RNA
Rfam family: Bacterial small subunit ribosomal RNA
Source: RNAcentral
GAUGAACGCUGGCGGCGUGCCUAAUACAUGCCAGUCGAGCGAACAGACGAGGAGCUUGCUCCUCUGACGUUAGCGGCGGACGGGUGAGUAACACGUGUAUAACCUACCUAUAAGACUGGGAUAACUUCGGGAAACCGGAGCUAAUACCGGAUAAUAUAUUGAACCGCAUGGUUCAAUAGUGAAAGACGGUUUUGCUGUCACUUAUAGAUGGAUCCGCGCCGCAUUAGCUAGUUGGUAAGGUAACGGCUUACCAAGGCAACGAUGCGUAGCCGACCUGAGAGGGUGAUCGGCCACACUGGAACUGAGACACGGUCCAGACUCCUACGGGAGGCAGCAGUAGGGAAUCUUACGCAAUGGGCGAAAGCUUGACGGAGCAACGCCGCGUGAGUGAUGAAGGUCUUCGGAUCGUAAAACUCUGUUAUUAGGGAAGAACAAAUGUGUAAGUAACUAUGCACGUCUUGACGGUACCUAAUCAGAAAGCCACGGCUAACUACGUG